AGAACGAACGCUGGCGGCAGGCUUAACACAUGCAAGUCGAACGCUCGUAGCAAUACGGGAGUGGCAGACGGGUGAGUAACGCGUGGGAACAUACCCUCCGGUUCGGAAUAGCUCAGGGAAACUUGGAUUAAUACCGGAUACGGCUGAGAGGCGAAAGAUUUAUCGCCGGAGGAUUGGCCCGCGUUCGAUUAGCUUGUUGGUGAGGUAACGGCUCACCAAGGCGAUGAUCGAUAGCUGGUCUGAGAGGAUGAUCAGCCACAUUGGGACUGAGACACGGCCCAAACUCCUACGGGAGGCAGCAGUGGGGAAUAUUGGACAAUGGGCGCAAGCCUGAUCCAGCCAUGCCGCGUGAGUGAUGACGGCCUUAGGGUUGUAAAGCUCUUUCGCUCGGGACGAUAAUGACGGUACCGAGAUAAGAAGCCCGGCUAACUUCGUGCCAGCAGCCGC
This 447-nucleotide ribosomal RNA is filed under the name uncultured bacterium. RNAcentral's name for it is "SSU rRNA". It matches the Rfam family "Bacterial small subunit ribosomal RNA", at positions 26 to 518 of the family's 1533-position model. The record is from RNAcentral.